UGUGAAAGCCCCGGGCUCAACCUGGGAACGGCAUCCGGAACGGCCAGGCUAGAGUGCAGGAGAGGAAGGUAGAAUUCCCGGUGUAGCGGUGAAAUGCGUAGAGAUCGGGAGGAAUACCAGUGGCGAAGGCGGCCUUCUGGCCUGACACUGACACUGAGGUGCGAAAGCGUGGGUAGCAAACAGGAUUAGAUACCCUGGUAGUCCACGCCGUAAACGAUGUCGACUAGCCGUUGGGACCUUUAAGGACUUAGUGGCGCAGUUAACGCGAUAAGUCGACCGCCUGGGGAGUACGGCCGCAAGGUUAAAACUCAAAUGAAUUGACGGGGGCCCGCACAAGCGGUGGAGCAUGUGGUUUAAUUCGAUGCAACGCGAAGAACCUUACCUACCCUUGACAUCCAGAGAAGUUGGCAGAGAUGCCUUCGUGCCUUCGGGAACUCUGAGACAGGUGCUGCAUGGCUGUCGUCAGCUCGUGUUGUGAAAUGUUGGGUUAAGUCCCGUAACGAGCGCAACCCUUGUCCUUAUUUGCCAGCGAGUNAUGUCGGGAACUCUAAGGAGACUGCCGGUGACAAACCGGAGGAAGGUGGGGACGACGUCAAGUCAUCAUGGCCCUUACGGGUAGGGCUACACACGUGCUACAAUGGCCGGUACAAAGGGUUGCGAGACCGCGAGGUGGAGCGAAUCCCAGAAAGC
RNAcentral lists this ribosomal RNA (690 nucleotides) under Salinicola sp. Its description in RNAcentral is "bacterial SSU rRNA". It matches the Rfam family "Bacterial small subunit ribosomal RNA", at positions 593 to 1282 of the family's 1533-position model. The record is from RNAcentral. Lineage: Bacteria; Pseudomonadati; Pseudomonadota; Gammaproteobacteria; Oceanospirillales; Halomonadaceae.